Dipodomys ordii (Ord's kangaroo rat) is the source of this 437-nucleotide long non-coding RNA. RefSeq lists it as uncharacterized. The transcript is spliced from 3 exons. The record is from RefSeq and is a predicted model, not a curated record. NCBI's taxonomy places the organism in Eukaryota, Metazoa, Chordata, Mammalia, Rodentia, Heteromyidae.
GUCCGUCCGGUCCGUAGGUGCGCUCACACGCACUGGGGGAAGUAGAGACCGCGCUCCCGAAGCAGCACAGCGUCGCAGAUCCUGUAAGCCCACUGCCUCGCAACUUCGGCUCAUCUUGUGUCGUGAGGCUCCCAUUUCAGAUUCCCGUGAUAGCUUGAAUCACGAUUAAAUUGAGCUCCGCCCCUUGGCGUUUACGACACCAGGGAAGGAGGGCUUUCCAGGCGCGGGACUUCCGCCUUGUCUCGCGGUGGUGAUGGGGAGAUCACGUUGUCGCGUGUGGCGGCGUAAGAUUCCAGAGGAGUUUGGAUGAGGAUGUGCUGAAUCUUAUUUCAGUGGCGGAUGCUUCUAUGAAAGACGUCGGCACCGUGUGGGAAUGAGGCCAGCGGGAAAUUAUACUCUUGGAAAUAUCUGGACAAGAUAACACAGAUCUUGGAAGG